UACGGAGGGUGCAAGCAUUGAUCGGAAUUACUGGGCGUAAAGGGCGCGUAGGCGGUGAGAAAAGUCGGAUGUGAAAUUCCAGGGCUCAACCCUGGAGCUGCAUAUGAAACUCUCUCGCUAGAGUUCAGUUAGGGAAAACGGAAUUCCACGUGUAGCGGUGAAAUGCGUAGAUAUGUGGAAGAACACCGGUGGUGAAGACGGUUUUCUGGGCUGAGACUGACGCUGAGGCGCGAAAGCAUGGGGAGCAAACAGG
RNAcentral lists this ribosomal RNA (253 nucleotides) under uncultured bacterium. RNAcentral's name for it is "partial 16S ribosomal RNA". It matches the Rfam family "Bacterial small subunit ribosomal RNA", at positions 524 to 776 of the family's 1533-position model. The record is from RNAcentral.